This 373-nucleotide ribosomal RNA is filed under the name uncultured bacterium. Its description in RNAcentral is "bacterial SSU rRNA". It matches the Rfam family "Bacterial small subunit ribosomal RNA", at positions 523 to 898 of the family's 1533-position model. The record is from RNAcentral.
AUACGGAGGAUGCAAGCGUUAUCCGGAUUCAUUGGGUUUAAAGGGUGCGUAGGCGGAAUAUUAAGUCAGUGGUGAAAUCCUGCAGCUUAACUGUAGAACUGCCAUUGAUACUGGUAUUCUUGAAUAUAGUUGAGGUGGGCGGAAUGUGUAAUGUAGCGGUGAAAUGCUUAGAUAUUACACAGAACACCGAUUGCGAAGGCAGCUCACUAAACUAUUAUUGACGCUGAGGCACGAAAGCGUGGGUAGCAAACAGGAUUAGAUACCCUGGUAGUCCACGCUGUAAACGAUGAUCACUCGCUGUUGGCAAUACAUCGUCAGUGGCUGAGCGAAAGCAUUAAGUGAUCCACCUGGGGAGUACGGCCGCAAGGUUGAA